UUGAGAUGAAUCCAGCAAAAUCAAGCAUAGUUCACACUGAACUUCGAUGUUGACAAGCAUGCAUCUAAAUGUCUUUCGCUCCUAUCUGACUUCUUUC
RNAcentral lists this small nucleolar RNA (97 nucleotides) under Neolentinus lepideus HHB14362 ss-1. Its description in RNAcentral is "Small nucleolar RNA snR60/Z15/Z230/Z193/J17". It matches the Rfam family "Small nucleolar RNA snR60/Z15/Z230/Z193/J17". From Rfam's summary of the family: The members of this family belong to the C/D class of snoRNAs which contain the C (UGAUGA) and D (CUGA) box motifs. The record is from Rfam by way of RNAcentral. Lineage: Eukaryota; Fungi; Basidiomycota; Agaricomycetes; Gloeophyllales; Gloeophyllaceae.